This 208-nucleotide long non-coding RNA is filed under the name Elaeis guineensis (African oil palm). RNAcentral's name for it is "long non-coding RNA (EGUI_LNC038884)". Lineage: Eukaryota; Viridiplantae; Streptophyta; Magnoliopsida; Arecales; Arecaceae. The record is from RNAcentral.
GCCUUCCCUCAGUCCCUUAACUUCUUCAAGACCCUACAUUGAUGUGCACAAAUGAGCACUUGAACCAGAAUCAAGAAUCCAACUAGAAGAAGAGCAAACCAUUAGAUUAGUUUCAAUAAUGAGCAACUUAGACGUACCUUCAGAAGGUCCAUCUUCAUUCUUGCUCUUGACAGUCGCUAGGUAGGCCAGACAGUUUCUUCUCCAGUGG